GAUGAACGCUGGCGGCGUGCCUAAUACAUGCAAGUCGAGCGAACAGACGAGGAGCUUGCUCCUCUGUCGUGAGCGGCGGACGGGUGAGUAACACGUGGAAAACCCACCUAUAAGACUGGUAUAACUUCGAGAAACCGGCGCUAAUAGCGGAUAAUAUAUUGAACCGCAGGGGUCAAUGGUGAAAGACGGUGUUGCUGUCACGUAUAGAUGGAUCCGCGCCGCUUUAGCUGGUAGGUAAGGUAACGGCUUACCAAGGCGACGAUGCGUAGCCGACGGGAGAGGGGGAUAGGCCACCCUGGAAGUGAGCCACGGUCCUGACUCCUGCGGGAGGGCGCAGUAGGGAACCUGCCGCAGCGGGCGAAAACAUUACACAACGACGGCAAGUGAGUGAUGACGGUGCCCCGAUCGUAAAACUCUCUUACUAGUGAUAAACCAAUGUCUACUUAAAUAUGCACGUAUUGACGGUACCUAGUCAAAAAGCACCGGCUAACUACGUG
Molecule: ribosomal RNA, 497 nt
Filed under: uncultured bacterium
Lineage: Bacteria
Description: partial 16S ribosomal RNA
Rfam family: Bacterial small subunit ribosomal RNA
Source: RNAcentral